This 804-nucleotide ribosomal RNA is filed under the name Nocardiopsis flavescens. RNAcentral describes it as "bacterial SSU rRNA". It matches the Rfam family "Bacterial small subunit ribosomal RNA", at positions 57 to 862 of the family's 1533-position model. The record is from RNAcentral. Lineage: Bacteria; Bacillati; Actinomycetota; Actinomycetes; Streptosporangiales; Nocardiopsidaceae.
GACAGUCGAGCGGUAAGGCCCUUCGGGGUACACGAGCGGCGAACGGGUGAGUAACACGUGAGCAACCUGCCCCUGACUCCGGGAUAAGCGGUGGAAACGCCGUCUAAUACCGGAUACGACCCUCCUCCGCAUGGUGGGGGGUGGAAAGUUUUUUCGGUCGGGGAUGGGCUCGCGGCCUAUCAGCUUGUUGGUGGGGUAACGGCCUACCAAGGCGAUUACGGGUAGCCGGCCUGAGAGGGCGACCGGCCACACUGGGACUGAGACACGGCCCAGACUCCUGCGGGAGGCAGCAGUGGGGAAUAUUGCGCAAUGGGCGAAAGCCUGACGCAGCGACGCCGCGUGGGGGAUGACGGCCUUCGGGUUGUAAACCUCUUUUACCACUCACGCAGGCCCCACGUUUUCGUGGGGUUGACGGUAGGUGGGGAAUAAGGACCGGCUAACUACGUGCCAGCAGCCGCGGUAAUACGUAGGGUCCGAGCGUUGUCCGGAAUUAUUGGGCGUAAAGAGCUCGUAGGCGGCGUGUCGCGUCUGCUGUGAAAGACCGGGGCUUAACCCCGGUUCUGCAGUGGAUACGGGCAUGCUAGAGGUAGGUAGGGGAGACUGGAAUUCCUGGUGUAGCGGUGAAAUGCGCAGAUAUCAGGAGGAACACCGGUGGCGAAGGCGGGUCUCUGGGCCUUACCUGACGCUGAGGAGCGAAAGCAUGGGGAGCGAACAGGAUUAGAUACCCUGGUAGUCCAUGCCGUAAACGUUGGGCGCUAGGUGUGGGGACUUUCCACGGUUUCCGCGCCGUAGCUAAACGCAUUA